CAAAAACAUCGCCUCUUGCAUCAUAAUAAGAGGUCAAGCCUGCCCAGUGAUCAUUUCAACGGCCGCGGUAUCCUGACCGUGCGAAGGUAGCAUAAUCAUUUGUUCUUUAAAUGGGGACUAGCAUGAAUGGCAUCACGAGGGUUAUACUGUCUCCUUACUCCAAUCAAUAAAACUAAUCUUCCCGUGAAGAAGCGGGAAUGCACAUAUAAGACGAGAAGACCCUAUGGAGCUUCAAACUACUUGCACUAGCUUACACAUUAAUACGUCCCCGGACGAUAAUACUAAAUUUAGCUUCAUGACUGCUAGUUUUAGGUUGGGGUGACCACGGAGAACAAAACAACCCCCGUAUUGAAAAGAAUAAUUUCCUGAGCAAAAAGCUACAACUUUAAGCACUAACAAAUUAACAUCAAUUGACCCAAUACUUUGAUCAACGAACCAAGUUACCCUAGGGAUAACAGCGCAAUCCGCUUCAAGAGCCCCUAUCGACAAGCGGGUUUACGACCUCGAUGUUGGAUCAGGGUAUCCCAGUGGUGCAGCCGC
This 540-nucleotide ribosomal RNA is filed under the name Dendropsophus sp. Xingu ABGD cluster 90. RNAcentral describes it as "partial large subunit ribosomal RNA". It matches the Rfam family "Bacterial large subunit ribosomal RNA", at positions 1808 to 2562 of the family's 2925-position model. Lineage: Eukaryota; Metazoa; Chordata; Amphibia; Anura; Hylidae. The record is from RNAcentral.